Stomoxys calcitrans (stable fly) is the source of this 1592-nucleotide long non-coding RNA. RefSeq lists it as uncharacterized. Lineage: Eukaryota; Metazoa; Arthropoda; Insecta; Diptera; Muscidae. The record is from RefSeq and is a predicted model, not a curated record. The transcript has 3 exons.
GUAAUUUGGUUUUAUUUUCCAAUUUAAUUCAUUUACAUUAGUAAGACUCUUACUUCUAAUUGUUUAAUUCUAAUUCUUAGCAACUAAUAGUUUUUUCAAAGAACAUAUUUCUUAUAGUUAUUAUAAUUAGAUAAUUUGGCAGGCCAGCCCAGCCUAUCUAUGGACUCUAAAACUAUCCGCAACUUGCGUUAUCUAAAAAAGAUCUCUUGCCUGGUAAAAUGGAAAAAUCCAGGAUCUAUUCCUACUGUUUAUGUAUGGGACACAUUGCUUUUAUUACUAUGGCAGAAUCGUAGUAUGGCUUAGUUACUCAUGACGGAUAACACCGUAUAGAUUUCAUUCAAUAAAAUUUGCGAUCCAACAGAAAAUGAUGCGAGAGAAUUAUGAGAGCAGUGGCAAAUAGACGAUAUAGAUAAAUUGAGGGGAAAUAAGAGAAAGGGUCAAAUAGUUAUUCGAAGUGAAUGAGACCAAUGAUAUUAGAAUGGCGACCUCAAGUAAAGUUGUCGUUUGUUGGAAGGUUUUCUCAAGCAAAGCGACCCUACAAAUGCCAGUUAAGGAAGAAAAAGCCAUGUCAGUGUGCUUGUAUACUUGGUGCAAAGUUUUUUAUGUGUAUCGGGUGUUGAAAAUUUGAAAUAAAAAUUUUAUCCAGUACCUUUUUUACAAACAAUUGCCUUCCGUGCCAUCCUGCCCGUGAUAUUAUUUAUAUAGACAUUAAUACGUGCAUAAAAUCAAGUCUAUCUAUUUUUGUGUUAAAAAUCUUUGGCUAACAGUAUUGAAUGCCACACCGGAUUACUUACAUCUCGCACUACUGGUACCGCACGAAGCACGAUAUAAUAUUUGGGAGGAGCAAGGUAGGACAAAAAAAUAUAGUUUGCUAUUUAUCAAAAUCAAACGCAAGAUAAGAAAGGCCACAAACAUUUCCGACGUCCAAUAAUAACGUCCGACGUAAGAACGUAAGUCUUCGCAGAGACGUAUUUUGGUGUUGCCCAUGCCUUUACUGUUUGCCUUGUGGAACAUUGUUUGUCCACAGCUGGGCAUGUCCAAUUAGAUGUCUAAGGUCACAUAUGCACACACACGUUGUAAUUGAACCUGUGUUUUUUGUAUACACGAUAGUGGUCUUUACACAUAGAAGCACAGAGAUGCCAAAGAAAUAUGAUCCACAAUAACAACACUCCUAAAUUAUAAAAUAUUUUGAUUGCGGACGAUUCUUCCUCAAUAACCAUACAUUGAUGUUGAAUUUUAUAUUGUAUUUACUGUAUGUUAUCCUUUAUGUAGAUAAAUUUUAGCUUAUUCAUAUGUAUUUUUUUUUUUAAUUAAUUGACUUUCAGACUUUUGGAGAUAGGGUCUACAAAGUUGUAUCGUAAAGUUCAUCAAUUCAUUGUGUUUGUUGUAACCGAAUUUACAGGCCUGGACUAAGAGAGCUCACUUAGGUAGGGAAGUGAAGGAGGUUUUUCAGUUUUUGUUUAAUUUACCCGUUUGGGUUUUAUAAUGACUUUGUAGGGUCUAAUUCUUAAAGUAAAGACAGUAAAUAAUUUUUUUUUGGUAUUAAUUUUCCUUUUUUUAUUUUUUUGUGUGAUUUUUUGUAAAACGAUUAA